Molecule: ribosomal RNA, 301 nt
Filed under: uncultured bacterium
Lineage: Bacteria
Description: partial 16S ribosomal RNA
Rfam family: Bacterial small subunit ribosomal RNA
Source: RNAcentral
CAGUCGCCACGGUAACACGAAGGGUGCAAGCGUUAAUCGGAAUUACUGGGCGUAAAGCGCGCGUAGGUGGUUUGCUAAGUUGGAUGUGAAAUCCCCGGGCUCAACCUGGGAACUGCAUUCAAAACUGACUGACUAGGGUAUGGUAGAGGGUGGUGGAAUUUCCUGUGUAGCGGUGAAAUGCGUAGAUAUAGGAAGGAACACCAGUGGCGAAGGCGACCACCUGGACUAAUACUGACACUGAGGUGCGAAAGCGUGGGGAGCAAACAGGAUUAGAUACCCCUGUAGUCCCUGUCUCUUAUAC